AGAGUUUGAUCCUGGUUCUAAGUGUACGCUGGCGGCGUGCCUAACACAUGCAAGUCGAGGGGCAACAGGGAAUUUCGGUUUCGCUGACGACCGGCGCACGGGUGAGUAACGCGUAUACAAUCUACCUUUAUCAGGGGGAUAGCCCAGAGAAAUCUGGAUUAACACCGCAUAAUAUUAUUUUAAGGCAUCUUAGAAUAAUUAAACCUUCGGGGGAUAAAGAUGAGUAUGCGUGCCAUUAGUUAGAUGGUGAGGUAACGGCUCACCAUGACAAUGAUGGCUACGGGGUCUUAAAGGAUGAUCCCGCACACUGGUACUGAGACACGGACCAGACUCCUACGGGAGGCAGCAGUGAGGAAUAUUGGUCAAUGGAGGCAACUCUGAACCAGCCAUGCCGCGUGAAGGAUGACUGCCCUAUGGGUUGUAAACUUCUUUUUUACGGGAAGAAACCACUCCGUUAUGGGAGUGCUGACGGUACUGUACGAAUAAGGAUCGGCUAACUCCGUGCCAGCAGCCGCGGUAAUACGGAGGAUCCAAGCGUUAUCCGGAUUUAUUAGGUUUAAAGGGUGCGCAGGCGGGAAUAUAAGUCAGCGGUGAAAUCCUACAGCUCAA
RNAcentral lists this ribosomal RNA (609 nucleotides) under uncultured bacterium. Its description in RNAcentral is "bacterial SSU rRNA". It matches the Rfam family "Bacterial small subunit ribosomal RNA", at positions 8 to 612 of the family's 1533-position model. The record is from RNAcentral.